Molecule: ribosomal RNA, 467 nt
Filed under: uncultured bacterium
Lineage: Bacteria
Description: partial 16S ribosomal RNA
Rfam family: Bacterial small subunit ribosomal RNA
Source: RNAcentral
ACGAACGCUGGCGGCGUGCUUAACACAUGCAAGUCGAACGGAAAGGCCCUGCUUUUGUGGGGUGCUCGAGUGGCGAACGGGUGAGUAACACGUGAGUAACCUGCCCUUGACUUUGGGAUAACUUCAGGAAACUGGGGCUAAUACCGGAUAGGAGCUCCUGCUGCAUGGUGGGGGUUGGAAAGUUUCGGUGGUUGGGGAUGGACUCGCGGCUUAUCAGCUUGUUGGUGGGGUAGUGGCUUACCAAGGCUUUGACGGGUAGCCGGCCUGAGAGGGUGACCGGCCACAUUGGGACUGAGAUACGGCCUAGACUCCUACGGGAGGCAGCAGUGGGGAAUAUUGCACAAUGGGCGGAAGCCUGAUGCAGCAACGCCGCGUGCGGGAUGACGGCCUUCGGGUUGUAAACCGCUUUCGCCUGUGACGAAGCGUGAGUGACGGUAAUGGGUAAAGAAGCACCGGCUAACUACGUG